AACAACGCAUUAUCUGUUCAUAGUUGUCUUAGCUGUUAACAGCACGCUGCUGACUAUUUAUGCAGGAGACUACAUAUUCUACACUGAUUGGGCUUGGACUUCAUUCGUCGUGUUCUCGAUUUCGCAGUCAACGACGCUUCUUUUAGGUCCCACCCAUUACUUGAUGUUUACGUGUUGGCCUGGGACAUCAACCGAAUAUGCCACUCACAUAACGAUUUAUACAUGCGUUGAGAAUGGUGCUUCGUUUCCUCUUCGACAUCAAUAUGUCUCCGUUGGGCAACAAGAAGGAACAAACACGCGGCGAUACUAAGAGGGGGAACAUUGGUUGGACUGUCUCUGCCAAUGGUUAACAUGAUCAACCUGUUGACCAUACGCGAUCCGCUAGAAAUGGCAUACAAGUAGCCUAGACCAACACGGCACCCAUACAUGACACCAAUCGAACCACAAGUCGGUAAAUUCUAUAAUAGGCAAGUGGGCUUAGGAGCUGGCGCGGGGGACGUGCUAUGUGUGCCAAUAGCGGCGUUGGGUGCAAAACUCAAUACGUGG
This 546-nucleotide ribosomal RNA is filed under the name uncultured Nitrososphaerota archaeon. RNAcentral's name for it is "uncultured thaumarchaeote partial 16S ribosomal RNA". Lineage: Archaea; Thermoproteati; Nitrososphaerota. The record is from RNAcentral.